UUUCCGUAGGUGAACCUGCGGAAGGAUCAUUCAUAAUAAGUGUUUUAUGGCACUUUUUUAAAUCCAUAUCCACCUUGUGUGCAAUGUCAGGGUUGAUUUUUCUCUCGAGAGGAUCAACCCCAAACAUCAACUAUAUCUCAACUCUUUGUCUGAAAAAUAUUAUGAAUAAAACAAUUCAAAAUACAGCUUUCAACAACGGAUCUCUUGGCUCUC
This 213-nucleotide unclassified non-coding RNA is filed under the name plant metagenome. Its description in RNAcentral is "partial contains small subunit ribosomal RNA, internal transcribed spacer 1, and 5.8S ribosomal RNA". The record is from RNAcentral.